UAAGCCUUGUCGUCGCCCAUAAGAUCCACUUUGUCCAACAAUUGGGAUUUUCAGUUCCCCGUAGCUAUUACCCGAUCUCCUCCACGCGUCCCCAGGUUUCUUCUCUUCUCUUCUCAUUUCCCAAUUGUUUUUCUUGCUCUUUGGGUCUUGCUAGUUUUUGUUAAUUUUGGUUAGAGAGUUGAAUGAUUGUGAUCAGACUCACUUUUCGGAGAAGAAAAGAAAAUUGAAAAUGGGAGAACUGAGUUCAAAGAAAGAGAAUUUGGGAAACGAAAUCCGCACAAACCGACGGAGGUGAGUAUUCGACGAUUUUGGUUAGUUAUAUGGAAUUGAUGAAACUUCGACGGCUCUCCCUUCUUGAAUAUGUUGUUUAUGGGAUUUGAUUUCUACACCAAAGUGAGGAAAAUUCUAUUAAGCUAUCAUAUAUUCAUAUUGGCUAUGAUUGAAUGGUACAUGACCAUAAUAGCUUGAAUUCCAGUAAAAGCUUUGUGGAUUUGGGAUUUGAAGUUUGAGGUUUUAUUUUUAUUUUUUGGAUUUGAAUUUUGCAGUUUUUGAAAUUUUACAUGUUAGUUGAUGUUGUUAUCCUUUUCAUGUUAAAGUCCAAUGUAUGAUUUAGCAGGUUAGAUGAGAUAUUGGAUUUGCUGAACCUUCAGGUAGUUAGAAAAUAUGCCAAUGUCUCCAAUGGAGGGGUGCCAUUUAAUUAGAAAGUAAACAUCCCACAUUGUUAUCAGCCCUAGACCACCAUUUUACACAUUUCAGACCAACAAUUUGAUUGCUUGUUUUCUCUGCUAUGUACUCAAAUCUAUUACAGCUACUGGGAUAGCUGCAUCACCAAAACUAGUUCUUUGUGUAUCACAGCUUAUGACUCUAAUUGUUUUACCAUCAAGGUCACACAGAAUACUUGAUUUUGGAUUAGUCAUUUACUUAUCCAUUUUGUCAAAUAUGGGUUCUGCUGAGAAAUGCCAGGAUGGCAAGUAAUUAAGCAACAAUUUUUGGAUGAUCCUUCUGAAACAACUAUAUACAUAGCUGGUUUGCAGGCUGCAUGGAAGCUUGGUGCUGCAUUCAAAUUGGUUAUCAUUUGAUUAUGACACUGCGUCUAGUAUCUGCUAAGUUUAUUGGUCUUUAGGUUCAAAAGUUUCGUUUUAUCGAAACUCUUAUGAGUUUUAUUUGGUUUGCAUAUAGUUCUCUUUUGAAGCUUGUAUUAUAUCUAAAUAUUUCUCAUGUUCUCUUUUUAGAUCUACCCCAAAUCCUGUUUUUUCUUUUUUUGAAUUCUGGGUGCACAGGCAGUGAGAUUGUAGUUGUCAGUGACAAACUAAGGAUAAAUUGGAAGAGCUUUAAGGUUGAACCGUAACAGAUGAGGAUUGGCAUAGUUGAGUUUGAGGAUGAUGUGGUACUUGACAGUGAGGGUGACGAAGUUAAUGGAAGGUGACUCAUACAAGUAUGUCUCUGGACAAAAAGUGCACUGCAGAUGGGGUUGGAAGAAUUGUUGGACUGCUAAUCGAUCAGAGGAAGGCCCCAUCAAAGUGGAUGUCUAACCUGUUACUAGAGCUCUUUAAUUUGAUGAUGUAAACUCAGGUUGUCUGAGAGGGAUUUCCCCUUAGUGUUUGUUUGUUUCGUAUCAAAAAAAAGAGUGAAUGUCUAACGCGGACCAAACAAAAGUGGAGGUGUCAUCAUGCAUCUGGGAAUCAUACACCUGCUAAAUUUAUGCUUCGAAUUUCCAGUAUUUUUCCGUGUCUCAACAAUUGUAAAGUUCAUUCGUAUCAAAAAAACAAUUUGUAAAG
Fragaria vesca subsp. vesca is the source of this 1778-nucleotide RNA transcript. RefSeq lists it as uncharacterized. The record is from RefSeq and is a predicted model, not a curated record. The transcript is spliced from 3 exons. NCBI's taxonomy places the organism in Eukaryota, Viridiplantae, Streptophyta, Magnoliopsida, Rosales, Rosaceae.